Molecule: long non-coding RNA, 373 nt
Filed under: Homo sapiens (human)
Lineage: Eukaryota; Metazoa; Chordata; Mammalia; Primates; Hominidae
Description: non-protein coding lnc-ARHGAP6-7:2
Source: RNAcentral
ACGCUGUGAAGACCUGUGUCACUUGUGAAGUAUCCUACUGUGACGAGUGCCUGAAAGCCACUCACCCGAAUAAGAAGCCCUUUACAGGCCAUCGUCUGAUUGAGCCAAUUCCGGACUCUCACAUCCGGGGGCUGAUGUGCUUGGAGCAUGAGGAUGAGAACAAAACUUAGAGAGUAACCUCACCAACCUUAUUAAGAGGAACACAGAACUGGAGACCCUUUUGGCUAAACUCAUCCAAACCUGUCAACAUGUUGAACUGUAAAGGAUCAGAAAGUCAUUGGCAGAGAGAAGCAGCAGUAUUACCCUAGGAAUAGGAGAAAGUGGGUCAGCAACUCCCUACAGGCAAGACUGAUGGGGAGAAGAUGCAUUUCAA